GUCGAACGCUGGCGGCGUGCUUAACACAUGCAAGUCGAACGGAAAGGCCCUGCUUUUGUUGGGUGCUCGAGUGGCGAACGGGUGAGUAACACGUGAGUAACCUGCGCUUGACUUUGUGAUAACUUCAGGAAACUGGUGCUACUACCGGAUAGGAGCUCCGGCUGCAUGGUGGGGGUUGGACAGUUUCGGCUGUUGGGGAUGGACUCCCGGCUUAUCAGCUUGUUGGUGGGGUAGCGGCUUACCAAGGCUUUGACGGGUAGCCGGCCUGAGAGGUGGACCGGCCACAUGGGGACUGAGAUACGGCCCAGACUCCUACGGGAGGCAGCAGUGGCGAAUAUGGCACAAUGAGCGGAAGCCAGAUGCAGAAACGCCGCGUGCGGGAUGACGGCCCUCGGGGUGUAAACCGCUUUGGCCUGUGACGAAGCGUGAGUGACGGUAAUGGGUAAAGAAGCACCGGCUAACUACGUG
This 468-nucleotide ribosomal RNA is filed under the name uncultured bacterium. Its description in RNAcentral is "partial 16S ribosomal RNA". It matches the Rfam family "Bacterial small subunit ribosomal RNA", at positions 28 to 507 of the family's 1533-position model. The record is from RNAcentral.